CGCCCGUCGCUCCUACCGAUUUCGAGUGAUCCGGUGAACCUUUUGGACUGCGUGGUCCUCGUGACCGUGUGGAAAAUCAAGUAAACCAUAUCACUUAGAGGAAGGAGAAGUCGUAACAAGGUUUCC
RNAcentral lists this ribosomal RNA (126 nucleotides) under Hypotrichidium paraconicum. RNAcentral describes it as "partial small subunit ribosomal RNA". It matches the Rfam family "Eukaryotic small subunit ribosomal RNA", at positions 1670 to 1804 of the family's 1831-position model. Lineage: Eukaryota; Ciliophora; Spirotrichea; Stichotrichida; Spirofilidae. The record is from RNAcentral.